AGGAGGCUGGAGCGCGGCGAGCCCGGCGGCGGGCGGCUGCAAAAGGCGGCCUGGAUCGCCGCCGCGGCCCGCUCGGCUCCGGCCCGCUCGGCUCCGCCCCGCCCGGCCCCGCAGGCGGCCAAGCCCUCCACAAGGCCUUCUCCGGGUCCUCCCUGCAAGCAGGUCACCGCGACGGCGAAACUUGCUACCCACCAGGGUCAGGCCGCAUGCCCACAGUGAGGCAGCAAAACCCGCGCCGGUCCCUGCCGUCCGCCGUAGCCACUCCGGCCCACAGCUGAAGCGUUUGCUCCCGCCAGGCCCGGGUAUCAGCCUGUACUUCGCAAGUGAUCACCACGGAAGCGCCCCAGCCAAUAAAUCAGCUGCCCACUGGGAAGAGAGGCCUCCCACUCUGGUUGUCAGAGACCCGCGGGACAAACACAGAGAAGGGCCAGACCUGGCCUACAAGACCCAUCUACAGCCUCCCACUCUAGUCCUGCAGGCUCUGCGAGUUCAGAGUUCUCCCAGUGCUGGAUAUGACUCAUCAUUGUCAAUUUUCAAUAUAAUUGAUAUAGUUCAGUGGGAAAAUUGUGUGAGGCACAAGAAAGCAGCGCGCAUUCCUUGGUAUGAGGAGCAGACUUCUGGUACUUGACUUCUGCAUCAGUUGUACGAUCAACAGGCAGCCUUAGCUGCACAUGGCACCUCUAGACCAAGAAAGAGCUUAGUCCUCAAGGAGUUCCAAUCAGCCCAGAGAAGCAAAUAGGUAGGGAUGGAUCUUGGGCCUAUAAGGAAAGCAGCAGAGGAACAAAGGGUGGUGGGUGGAGCUAGGAAGAGGAAGCUAGCUCUGCUGGACUUAGGGGACAUGACAAGGGAGAGCAUAAGCUGGCCAGGUGGGCUCCAGCUGGGCUUUGAGUUGACCAGGAAGGACAUAGGAACAUUCUUGAAGCUCCAAGGAGGACAAGGUAUGCAGAAAAAACUGACUGCUUGUAGAUAGGCCAGCCCGGGAGGAGCAGGCUGCACAGAGCUUUGAGGAGUUAAGACCCAAUGGCAGACCAGGGAUUGAAGGUGGAGCUUUCCCCAGGGAGGCCCAAAUUGUUGAGUAGGAAGAGAGCAGCAGAGGCUGGUGGCACAGCAUUGUAGGAGAUGCGGCCCUGAAUUCACUCUGGGUUUGCUUUGGUCCUUCCUACUCUUCAGAAUUCCCAGGACAACCUCCAACCUCCUGUGUCCUGGCUGUGGGUUUCUUGAAAGAUACUAGUGCUCUCCAGCUGCAUCUAAGAAGCAAUCCCACUGAGAACACUCACUUGGCUGUCUCACAGGCAUCUCAAGCUAACUGCACUUCCAGAAAUAUGAAUUGACAUCUGAUGAUACUUGGAAAGGGCCUCUCUGUUGAAUGAGUACUGGUCCUGAGAGGGCAACACUCAUGAAGCAGUCCAUGGUACGGAUGGAUUCCCCCAGAAGUCAAGGCUAUUUAACUCUUGCUUUCUGUGCUUUAAGCACUCACAUCCCCACAGAAGCUGGCUCCACGAGACAGAGGACCAUAGGACACAACAGGAGAGUGGCGAAAGGACAAAAAGGAGACAACUGAGUGGGAGACAAGUUUCUUACUCUGGAGGAGUCACAGACCAAAGACUAACAGGACACCAGCUUUCUCCCAGGGUGCUCAGAGCGCAGGCGGAUAUUGUGGCCCAUGCAAUAAGGCUUAAGAAGGGAUGAAAGAAAUGUUCCUUUCAAAAAAAAAAAGAAAGAAAGAAAGAAAGAAAUGAAUCAUCCACACAUUAGGCUCCUCUGUGUCUUUUUUGUUUGUCUUAGGCCUUUCAGACUUCUUGAUAAAACAUACUAUACUGAGGAAGCUUCAAAGAAAAUGAAACCAUGGUGACAAGGGAAUCCUACCAACUAGAGUCCCAUUUUAAGUUCAGCCACUUUUCUCAGUCCUCUCUCGGUCCACAGGAAACCAUAGCCCACAGCCACUUUAAGAUUACCAGCAAGGUCCUUCCCAAUCUUGGAAGUCAUAGGGAAAAGCCUGUCCAGUUACUCCUAUCUUCACUGUUAGGACAAUGCUCCCACCCCCCACGCACACAGCAGAGACCUAACCUUUGCUAGGUGAGAAAGCAAACAGACAACAGGAUGACGCCUCAGAGUGUUAGGUGCAUGCCCACCCACUCCCCACAGCUUCUGUAUACCUUCAACCCACCUGCUCAGUGUUACCUCAGUUAGGAAGGCCUGGAGCAAUCACGUUACCUUGCCAGCUGCACACACUCAUAAACAGCACUGCUGUGUCCCUGUCAAGGGACCAAGGGGAUGAGGAACUGUACACAUUUCCACGCUUCCCACCUUUGCUUUUCCAACAUAGCUUAGACUAUUCUUAUUCCCCGCCAGAUCCACCACUGUAGCAACUCUAAAUGGCCACUUGUACCACCUACAACUUUGGUCCGUACUGCCCUCUACAAAUGUCCAAGUGUCCCAUGCUCCCCGACUGCCUCUUCAUCACAUUACGAGCCAUACAGCAUCCCUUAGUGCCUUCAGUGCUGGGGCAGCAACUCCACUUUGCCAUCUAGGUAGCCCAUCCACACACAGCCUUGCUCAGGCACCCUUGGCAGUAGUCCUCCUCUGUCCCUACCAGCACCACAGUCAGGCAGGGGAGCGUUUUACCCACAGACCUUCUGAGGCUCUGGCUGUGGCCUAUUUCUGGUGUUCUUUAAUUCUAAACAAAGCAGCCUGUGGGGAACCACACCAAACACAAAAACUAAAGGUCUUUCCUAUUUACCCUUGCACAGCCUAACCUUAAUCCCACACAAUUCUUGCCUGACCGUGGCCUCUGGCCACCUACCACCUCUGUCCUGAUUUCCAAGUUUCCUUGUAUGGGAAGUCUGGAUAGCUAUAAUCUUGUGACAAUGUAACAGGGACCACUGCAGGAGGGGACAGUACAACAACACGAGAAUAACAUACAACUGACCAGCAGACAGACAGACUUCUCUAGGUUACCCUAGGCUGCAGGUGAGAUGACCAGUCUCAGGAGUUGUGAUAAUUUAAUGUCCAGCUCCUAGCUCCAUGUGCAUAGCUCCUGACACUUGUUUCAUCUUUUCUAUUAAUUCUAACACAGAAAAGGCAAGUAAAGCAAGAACUUUCUCUUCUCAGUUGUGCCCAAAACUGUACACAAACAGAUGCUCAGCUUUUCACCACGGUCCACUUCUAAGGCUGCCGGAGGAGCUGCAGACAGUAGUAGGUCCGGGCUCUGGAACAUCCAUGCGGAUUCUUUGCCUGGUCUUCCUACUGAGUUCAAGCCAAGGACAGCACUAGUCCCAGCAUUCCCAUCUUAAAAAGAAGCAUUGUGAGGCAAGGG
Molecule: long non-coding RNA, 3316 nt
Organism: Mastomys coucha (southern multimammate mouse)
Lineage: Eukaryota; Metazoa; Chordata; Mammalia; Rodentia; Muridae
Exons: 3
Source: RefSeq, a predicted model, not a curated record